UUUUGCCCUAUUGGCAGGGGGUCCAUUCUUAUGAUAUAUUUGUUCUUGAAUUGGCUACUAUGUGUUUCCAAGCUGCAGGAGGUUCCCAGGCUAACUUAUCAUUUACCAGGUUUUCUUCUCUCGGCCUCUUCAAUGUUUCUACAGACUCAGUUAUAACUGGUUGCGUGCAGUUUGGUACGGGUUUGGUCCGCUUAACCUCCUUCCAAUCUGUAUUGGUAUUCUUAUUAUGGACUUUUUUGGCCGGGGAUGUACUAAGCUUUGCAUGCAUUGUCUCUUUUGUGUUCUGCCGUGCGUGUUCCUGUCGUUCUCGAGGUCGCUCCGGUGUAUG
This 328-nucleotide long non-coding RNA is filed under the name Androctonus crassicauda. Lineage: Eukaryota; Metazoa; Arthropoda; Arachnida; Scorpiones; Buthidae. The record is from RNAcentral.